Molecule: ribosomal RNA, 449 nt
Filed under: uncultured bacterium
Lineage: Bacteria
Description: partial 16S ribosomal RNA
Rfam family: Bacterial small subunit ribosomal RNA
Source: RNAcentral
AACGAACGCUGGCGGCAGGCUUAACACAUGCAAGUCGAACGCAUCCUUCGGGGUGAGUGGCAGACGGGUGAGUAACGCGUGGGAACAUGCCCUUCAGUUCGGAAUAACCCAGGGAAACUUGGGCUAAUACCGGAUACGUGCGAGAGCAGAAAGAUUUAUCGCUGAAGGAGUGGCCCGCGUCUGAUUAGCUAGUUGGUGAGGUAAAGGCUCACCAAGGCGACGAUCAGUAGCUGGUCUGAGAGGAUGAUCAGCCACACUGGGACUGAGACACGGCCCAGACUCCUACGGGAGGCAGCAGUGGGGAAUAUUGGACAAUGGGCGCAAGCCUGAUCCAGCCAUGCCGCGUGAGUGAUGAAGGCCUUAGGGUUGUAAAGCUCUUUCGGCGGGGACGAUAAUGACGGUACCCGCAGAAGAAGCCCCGGCUAACUUCGUGCCAGCCGCCGCGGUAA